Molecule: ribosomal RNA, 440 nt
Filed under: uncultured bacterium
Lineage: Bacteria
Description: partial 16S ribosomal RNA
Rfam family: Bacterial small subunit ribosomal RNA
Source: RNAcentral
CCUACGGGCGGCAGCAGUAGGGAAUAUUGCUCAAUGGGGGAAACCCUGAAGCAGCAACGCCGCGUGGAGGAUGAAGGUUUUCGGAUUGUAAACUCCUUUUGUUAGAGAAGAUAAUGACGGUAUCUAACGAAUAAGCACCGGCUAACUCCGUGCCAGCAGCCGCGGUAAUACGGAGGGUGCAAGCGUUACUCGGAAUCACUGGGCGUAAAGCGCGCGUAGGCGGGAUAGCAAGUCAGAUGUGAAAUCCUAUGGCUUAACCAUAGAACUGCAUUUGAAACUGUUAUUCUAGAGUAUGGGAGAGGUAGGUGGAAUUCUUGGUAUAGGGGUAAAAUCCGUAGAGAUCAAGAGGAAUACUCAUUGCGAAGGCGACCUGCUAGAACAUAACUGACGCUGAUGCGCGAAAGCGUGGGGAGCAAACAGGAUUAGAUACCCCAGUAGUC